UCAACAUGGAGGAGCCUGAGGGAGAUGGGUCCAGUUUGUUCUCAAGUCUUUUCUGGUAAGUGGCAGCGAGCCUCUCCUAACUGUUAACGUUUUGAACGGUGUUUUAAAAUUACAGUAAAAGUGGUUUCUAACUCAUACAGAACUUAAACAUGAACUGAAGGGCGGAAUAUUUGUGCAGCAUAGUUAAGCUCUUAUUGUUGGCUAGCUAAUAUAGGCCACAAUGCUAUCGCUAGCAUAGCCACUAACGCUAACUCUAGCCAAGUUGACUGACAAAAGAACCACUAGUUAACCAAUCUUUGGCUAGCUUUAAUCUUUAUACUGGCUGGUUUGGAACUGACAGUCUGGCUAGUUUGUUGUUGAAUGUGUAUGUAGGCUACCAUGACGUUAUUAAACCAAGGUUACACACACUAAACAAACUUUAUCAUAAACAAUCUAUAUUUAUGAGUGAGCUUGAAUUAAACCUUGAUUUACACAUUCCCUUUGAUCAUAUGAUGCUGCUAAUAUUUAACAGUAGUGAUCCACUUGUGUAAUGCAUGCACUACAGUAUAGAUGCUUUAUCUUGGGUAUUCAUAUACUGUAUUUAUUUUAUAUUUAUUCUUUGACAUUUUCGGCUGCAACUCACGUCAGACCGCCUGUUAGAGCAGAAUUUUGCCAUUUACUGACACAGACGACACUAACAUGUUGGUUCCUCCCUUAGACAAAGAGAACAUCAAUCAAUCAAUCAUCAAUUGGUUGUGUGCCAUGAAGAUUAUUUAUACACAGUUAACAAAGUGGUAGUGAAACACUGAGAUACAUUUCUUGACACCAGUGUGUUUCACGUAAAUCUAGCAGCAACUGGAAAUGCAGUAUCAAUCGGGGUAUUUGGUGCUGUCCUGCUGUCCAUCUGCUCUCUAUCAAAGUGGAGCUCUGUCUUUGGAAUUUUGAAACAAGUGUAAAAGUAAUACCACUGCACAUAUUGUAUUAAUUCUCCCUGAUUCACAUAUAAUUGGACCUAAUCUAUAAGCAUUCACAUAGUUUGAAUCAAUAAAUGUAUAUAAGUGCUUUGUUGUUUAAACCUUUAUAUACUGUAAUAAAUCAACCAUCAGCUGUAAGGAGAAACUGUUCUUUGAUUCUGAUUUUUAUAGAUAAACUCAAAUAU
Long non-coding RNA from Siniperca chuatsi (mandarin fish), 1138 nucleotides. RefSeq lists it as uncharacterized. The transcript has 3 exons. The record is from RefSeq and is a predicted model, not a curated record. NCBI's taxonomy places the organism in Eukaryota, Metazoa, Chordata, Actinopteri, Centrarchiformes, Sinipercidae.